RNAcentral lists this ribosomal RNA (379 nucleotides) under uncultured eukaryote. RNAcentral describes it as "partial 18S ribosomal RNA". It matches the Rfam family "Eukaryotic small subunit ribosomal RNA", at positions 592 to 976 of the family's 1831-position model. The record is from RNAcentral.
CAAUAGCGUAUAUUUAAGUUGUUGCAGUUAAAAAGCUCGAAGUUGGAUUUCGGAUGGGACUUGCCGGUCCGUCGUUUCGAUGUGCACUGGCCAGUCCUAUCUUGUUGUCGGGGACUAGCUCCUGGGCUUCACUGUCCGGGACUAGGAGCUGACGAGGUUACUUUGAGUAAAUUAGAGUGUUCAAAGCAAGCCUACGCUCUGAAUACAUUAGCAUGGAAUAACACGAUAGGACUCUGGCUUAUCUUGUUGGUCUGUGAGACCAGAGUAAUGAUUAAGAGGGACAGUCGGGGGCAUUCGUAUUUCAUUGUCAGAGGUGAAAUUCUUGGAUUUAUGAAAGACGAACUUCUGCGAAAGCAUUUGUCAAGGAUGUUUUCAUUAA